AUUGAACGCUGGCGGCAGGCCUAACUCAUGCAAGUCGAGCGGAUGAAGGGAGCUUGCUCCUGGAUUCAGCGGCGGACGGGUGAGUAAUGCCUAGGAAUCUGCCUGGUAGUGGGGGAUAACGUCCGGAAACGGGCGCUAAUACCGCAUACGUCCUGAGGGAGAAAGUGGGGGAUCUUCGGACCUCACGCUAUCAGAUGAGCCUAGGUCGGAUUAGCUAGUUGGUGGGGUAAAGGCCUACCAAGGCGACGAUCCGUAACUGGUCUGAGAGGAUGAUCAGUCACACUGGAACUGAGACACGGUCCAGACUCCUACGGGAGGCAGCAGUGGGGAAUAUUGGACAAUGGGCGAAAGCCUGAUCCAGCCAUGCCGCGUGUGUGAAGAAGGUCUUCGGAUUGUAAAGCACUUUAAGUUGGGAGGAAGGGCAGUAAGUUAAUACCUUGCUGUUUUGACGUUACCAACAGAAUAAGCACCGGCUAACUUUGUG
RNAcentral lists this ribosomal RNA (484 nucleotides) under uncultured bacterium. Its description in RNAcentral is "partial 16S ribosomal RNA". It matches the Rfam family "Bacterial small subunit ribosomal RNA", at positions 30 to 507 of the family's 1533-position model. The record is from RNAcentral.